This 465-nucleotide ribosomal RNA is filed under the name Vreelandella stevensii. Its description in RNAcentral is "partial 16S ribosomal RNA". It matches the Rfam family "Bacterial small subunit ribosomal RNA", at positions 338 to 795 of the family's 1533-position model. The record is from RNAcentral. Lineage: Bacteria; Pseudomonadati; Pseudomonadota; Gammaproteobacteria; Oceanospirillales; Halomonadaceae.
CCUACGGGGGGCUGCAGUGGGGAAUAUUGGACAAUGGGGGCAACCCUGAUCCAGCCAUGCCGCGUGUGUGAAGAAGGCCCUCGGGUUGUAAAGCACUUUCAGUGAGGAAGAACGCCUGGUGGUUAAUACCCAUCAGGAAAGACAUCACUCACAGAAGAAGCACCGGCUAACUCCGUGCCAGCAGCCGCGGUAAUACGGAGGGUGCGAGCGUUAAUCGGAAUUACUGGGCGUAAAGCGCGCGUAGGUGGCUUGAUAAGCCGGUUGUGAAAGCCCCGGGCUCAACCUGGGAACGGCAACCGGAACUGUCAAGCUAGAGUGCAGGAGAGGAAGGUAGAAUUCCCGGUGUAGCGGUGAAAUGCGUAGAGAUCGGGAGGAAUACCAGUGGCGAAGGCGGCCUUCUGGACUGACACUGACACUGAGGUGCGAAAGCGUGGGUAGCAAACAGGAUUAGAUACCCGAGUAGUC